AUGCAUCGCGUGAGUAACCCGGAGAUGGGGAUGCCCCGGAGAUCCGCCUCCCUCUUCGCCCUCGCCUUCUUCGCGCUGCUGCUCUCCACUUCCCUGGCAGGGAGACAGCGGCCGAGCUUCAUAGUAGAUCAGGAGUCUCUUGGUCAGCAAGGAGAGGUCCAGGACGAAGCUAUGGCACAGCUGGUGCACUCCCGGAUGCUCAAGGACGUCACCACCAGUGACUACGGCACCUACGACCCAACCCCGUCCAUGCAGAAGCCCCACUUCAAGCUCAUACCCAACUGA
RNAcentral lists this ribosomal RNA (285 nucleotides) under Triticum aestivum (bread wheat). RNAcentral describes it as "partial small subunit ribosomal RNA". The record is from RNAcentral. Lineage: Eukaryota; Viridiplantae; Streptophyta; Magnoliopsida; Poales; Poaceae.